UACGUAGGGUGCAAGCGUUAAUCGGAAUUACUGGGCGUAAAGCGUGCGCAGGCGGUUAUAUAAGACAGAUGUGAAAUCCCCGAGCUCAACUUGGGAACUGCAUUUGUGACUGCAUAGCUAGAGUACGGUAGAGGGGAGUGGAAUUCCGCGUGUAGCAGUGAAAUGCGUAGAUAUGCGGAGGAACACCGAUGGCGAAGGCAAUCCCCUGGACCUGUACUGACGCUCAUGCACGAAAGCGUGGGGAGCAAACAGG
RNAcentral lists this ribosomal RNA (253 nucleotides) under uncultured bacterium. Its description in RNAcentral is "partial 16S ribosomal RNA". It matches the Rfam family "Bacterial small subunit ribosomal RNA", at positions 524 to 776 of the family's 1533-position model. The record is from RNAcentral.